Long non-coding RNA from Rhagoletis pomonella (apple maggot), 1303 nucleotides. RefSeq lists it as uncharacterized. The record is from RefSeq and is a predicted model, not a curated record. NCBI's taxonomy places the organism in Eukaryota, Metazoa, Arthropoda, Insecta, Diptera, Tephritidae. The transcript is spliced from 2 exons.
GAAAGUAUUUUAAAAUUCCUUCAACGUGCACUAAAACGUUUUCAUCCUUACAAACUGAUGGCAUCUCCAUUUCAUUUUGUAUGGAAAAGCAAAUAAAAAUACAAAACGAAACUAAGCUAGUGAAAAAGAGAAAACUUGAAGAAAAAGAAACGGAUCGUACAGGAGAUAUACCCCACUAUUCUAACAGAGUCACAAAACUUAGCUCAUCACUGUUGUGAUUUCCAGUGCGCCGAGAAAUAAUACGGCUGUUAAUAAAAAUACGUGCAACAAAAUAUGAAAAUAAAAUUGGUCUAGAUCCUAUGUGUCGGCUAAUUUUAGCUGGCAUCCAGAACAAUGUUCCUGUGAAAAUUAAAAAUUCGUACUAUCAACACCUUUCUGGUUUCUAUUCUCGCAAAAUAAAACUAAAUAAAUAUACGAAAGAUUUCACCACAAAUUCAGAAUUGUCUGCGAAUUCGUCAAAUUUUAAAGAAUAUUGUAAAUUUGAACUUGAAAUACUGGAGCAAAAACAAAAAAUAGCCUCGCAAAGAAAGGUGGCUCGGCUGAAGCUGAAGAAAUACAUUUGCCGACAAAAAGCCUGCAACCAAGUUGCGCAACAACUGGUACCAAACAAAGAAGAGAAAACUUUAAUCUGCACCAAACUCACCAAUACGCGGAUAUAGGCGAGUACCUAAUCGCCUACUAAUCGCAGCUUUAAGACAACGAACAGCAGACAUUCUAAUGGUUAACGAAUUCAGAACAACCAAACUUUGCGCAAAAUGUUACAACGUAAGCCUGACGUCCAAAUCGCCACACAGGUACCAGUUUUGUCCAAACUGCCGUACUUGCUGGAAUCACGACGUCAAUGCUGGGAAAAACAUUCUCUACCUGGGAGAGUGUAUCAUUAACCAAGAACAAUUAGAAUUUUCACAAAUAAGAUGUCAUUAUUUCAUUUAUGGCGCAAAAUAUGUACAUCUGACUGGCAACAGUUUAACUUAUGAUACUAUAAACAAUUGUAAGUUGAUAAAAAAGUUGUAAUACACCCCUCCCUAGCCUCGCAAAUAUCAGAAAAAAGCACGAACCACACCCACUUCUUAGUUUUUUUUAGCUUAACGGGUCGUAUUCUGCACUUAUGCAUUUUUUAACACCUCCGAAUGGAUUUCUGCCUUAAAAAAGGCAUCUCAUAAAGUCUAUUUGCUGUUCGGAGGCGUCGUAAGACUGUAGGUCCCUCCAUUUGUGUCACAAGAUCACGACGCAGCACCAAAAUAUUAUUAUUAUUAUACAAGUAAAUUUCGUCAAUAAAACCAGUGUUUAUUUUUUAGAUUUA